This is a long non-coding RNA of Homo sapiens (human), 2064 nucleotides long. Ensembl annotates it as long intergenic non-protein coding RNA 2955. Lineage: Eukaryota; Metazoa; Chordata; Mammalia; Primates; Hominidae. The record is from Ensembl.
UUUGCUGAGUUGGGGAACACUGGAGAGGAUCAGUUUUGGGAGUUUAAGGAAGAAUCAGGAGAUAUUGAGAGGUUGCCCUUCAUCACUCAGCAGUGAAGAAUGAAAAUCAACAGAGCUUUCCCCAGCCUGCUGCUUAAGCAGCUGCUAGCAGGCUGAGGCUGCCCAGCCUCAUUAACCCAUUAGAUGCUGCGUUCGCCCGGGAGUCAUUCUUAAUGAGGCUGCUGCAGAUGAGAAAACAGAAGCAAAGGCAGAAAGAUGCUACAUUGCCAGCUUUGAAGAUGGAGGGAAGAGGUCACAAACCAAGGAAGGCAAUGAGGACGUUGCACAAGACAGUCCCUGAUACCCAGAGUUUACUGCCUAAGAGAGGAUACAUCCUUCAAACCAAUAAUCUGCUAAUAGCAAGAUCCAAUAGCUUCAUGGAUAUUGAAAGAAACUGAGAAUCAAAUUUGCAUACUUCUGAGUCACUUGGAAACAAAAAACAAGUACAGUCUUAGAUUCUGAGGGAACAAAAAUUAAAAAUCACAUUAGGAAGAGAAUUCCUAAUGUAGGAACUCAUCCUGGAAGAUUCUUCAGCAAAAGUACAGACAAUAAUAAUAAUACUCCAUGAAGUUACCAUCGAUAUUGAAUGAAUUAAUGAAUGUAAAAACCUCAAAACCCUGCCUGGCCCAGAGCUUUGGAAUGGGUUUGGAUCUACCACUCAACUGCUUUAUGACUUCAGACCAGUUAUUUAAAUUCCCUGAAGCUCAGUUUCCACAUCUUUGAGUUUUUAUUAAUGACCUGCCGACAUCAUACAGUUCAUGAAAUGCUCUGGAUGUGUACAUGCUGAUGAUACGACCUCAGACCCAGCAAGAGCUCAGUGCAGCCCGGAGAGCUGUGAGCAGUGCCACAGGAGGAGAUGACUGGUGAGUGAAAUAAGCAAGAUAGGAGUUGAAGUGUACAUGAAGCAGAGUCCAAGCCUUCUCCUUCUGGAUGUUCAGCUGGAUCAUCCUGACUGCUCCCACUUUCAUCUUGGCUUUCAAAGGGCUAUAUGGAUGUGCUCUACUUGUUGGAGGAUUGUCCAUCCACUCUUCUUCCUGUACUUACCAGGACAGAACAGCCGCAACUUCUCAGACAGUUCAUUCUUCUUUUCCUCACCUACUACCAUCUAAGAAAGGUACUUGAUGACUGUGGCUUUAGACAAGAGUCCUUUUCUUACCACAGGGUGGGCAGCACCAGCUCAUUAGAACCAUUUGUGUGACUGACUGAAGACAGCUCACCUUGGAACACUGCAGGUUGAAGAUCAUCUCUUCUUUUUUUCAUGGUGUUAAGCAUAAUAUGGCGUAAGUGACAUUUUACAAGUUCCAGAGCCUGGGACUCAAGAUGUCUUGGAGAUUCUGUCUUUGCAGUCUUAUAAUGAUGCCCUGAGAUCAUCAUUAAAGAAAGCCAGUCUGGCCUACUGAGGAUGAGAAGCUACAUAAAGGAGAAUGAAGAUUCCCCAGCCAACAGGCAAUAUCAGUGGUCAGAUAUGUGAAUAAAGCCAUGUUGAACCUCUCGGCUAGACGACCCUCCAGCAUAUGAAACCAGCAGAUGAAUAUCCCAGCCUGCCUGAAGAACUGUACAGGAAAUAAGAAAUCAUUGUUUUUUAAGCCACUGGGUUGGUGGGUGGUUUGUUACAUUGAAAUUGUUAACUAAAACAGAAAUUGGUGCAUAGAGGUCAGGUGCUGUCAUAAUAAAAAUCUAAAACAUAUACUGUUGGCUUUGGUGAUGGGAGUGAUUGGUAGCUAAAGAGGCAGUGAAACAAUGAUUAGUAGAUACUGGGAAGUUAAUAAGGAAAUUUCUAUUGGAGGGUGGAGAAAGGGCCACCCUUGUUAUAUAGUGGCCAAAGAAUCAGCAAAAUGUUGCCUGCUGCAACCUGGAAAGUAGAAACUUUUCUUAAACUCACGGAUCUGGCUGGGAGAUUUCCAGGAUGCAUGCAACAAAUGUGAAUCAACUUUGUAUAGCUGUGUAUAAUAAAGUGUGCUGUAUUUGUCCAUUCUGAUGCUGCUAAUAAAGACAUACCUGAGACUGAAUAAUUUAUAAAGGAAA